Long non-coding RNA from Leptopilina boulardi, 747 nucleotides. RefSeq lists it as uncharacterized. NCBI's taxonomy places the organism in Eukaryota, Metazoa, Arthropoda, Insecta, Hymenoptera, Figitidae. The record is from RefSeq and is a predicted model, not a curated record. The transcript is spliced from 2 exons.
ACUCCCCUGUUAUAUAUAUAUAUAUGUAUAUACAUUUAUAGCGUCUUGAUUCUUUCAGCAAAGCAGACGAACGUUAUUGCAAUAUAUAUUUGUACCUACAUAUAUAUGAAUACAUUUCUUUGUGUACGUUAACACGUGCGUGAAUAUCAGAGAUAAAGAAAAAAACGUCUCUUAUUAGCACAUUCAUUGAUAUAAAAGAUGCAGUCUGAUCUUGAAUUGCAUACAGUUCACCAGCGAACCUUUUGCUAAAAGCUUAUUUUGUCAACAACAAACAACGCAAGUGACGAAAAAAAAUUCAAUACCGAUAAAAAAUGAAGAGUUUCAUUGCAAUUUUCAUGCUAUUUAUUGCAUUAAUAGGAGCGAUAGAUGCCUUCAGACAUCAUCCACAAAGGCCACCACAGAAUGGUCGUCCAAAUUAUCCUGGAACUCCGCCAUUUAAUCCCAAAGUUAAACCAUUCCCAUAUUAUGUGUAAUGUCAAUUAUAACCGCACGAGACACGAGGAAGAAACGCCCAUGUCAUAUUCCAAACGACAGACUACAAAAUUCUAUUAGAAUUUCUAUAUUGGCAUUUCCGAAUAAUGUCAACGAUUCAAACAGUAUAUAUAUAUAUAUUUAUAUAUACAUCCUAAAAACGAUAAAAUUUCAAGAUCAAUUUAUUAUUUAUUUUCCAUACCCAUUUAAUUCAUAUAUACCAAACAUGUAAAAAGAAAAAUACAAUAAAAUAUUUAUUUAUAAAAAUGUGAAAAA